GAUGAACGCUGGCGGCGUGCCUAAUACAUGCAAGUCGAGCGAACAGACGAGGAGCUUGCUCCUCUGACGUUAGCGGCGGACGGGUGAGUAACACGUGGAUAACCUACCUAUAAGACUGGGAUAAUUUCGGGAAACCGGAGCUAAUACCGGAUAACAUGUUGAACCGCAGGGUUCAACAGUGAAAGACGGUCUUGCUGUCACUUAUAGAUGGAUCCGCGCCGCAUUAGCUAGUUGGUAAGGUAACGGCUUACCAAGGCAACGAUGCGUAGCCGACCUGAGAGGGUGAUCGGCCACACUGGAACUGAGACACGGUCCAGACUCCUACGGGAGGCAGCAGUAGGGAAUCUUCCGCAAUGGGCGAAAGCCUGACGGAGCAACGCCGCGUGAGUGAAGAAGGUCUUCGGAUCGUAAAACUCUGUUAUUAGGGAAGAACAAAUGUGUAAGUAACUAUGCACGUCUUGACGGUACCUAAUCAGAAAGCCACGGCUAACUACGUG
Molecule: ribosomal RNA, 497 nt
Filed under: uncultured bacterium
Lineage: Bacteria
Description: partial 16S ribosomal RNA
Rfam family: Bacterial small subunit ribosomal RNA
Source: RNAcentral